GCUCCGUUGGUGAACCAGCGGAGGGAUCAUUACCGAGUUUACAACUCCCAAACCCCUGUGAACAUACCAUUUGUUGCCUCGGCGGUGCCUGCUUCGGCAGCCCGCCAAAGGACCCAAACCCUUGAUUUUAUACAGUAUCUUCUGAGUAAAUGAUUAAAUAAAUCAAAACUUUCAACAACGGAUCUCUUGGUUCUG
Molecule: unclassified non-coding RNA, 195 nt
Filed under: plant metagenome
Description: partial contains small subunit ribosomal RNA, internal transcribed spacer 1, and 5.8S ribosomal RNA
Source: RNAcentral